UUUCAAUUGCCAUGACUCUGCCAUGUAAGGAAAGAGAUUACAAAAGUGGGAGAUAACUCACCUCGGGAAAUUGAUGCUUUCUUUUCAUGUAAACACUUCUUGUAAAGAUGCCUCACGAUAGUUGAUGGGAGUCACCUCUUGCAUACUUGAGUUUAUGGGACAAAUUCUCCUCUGAGUUUCCUCCACUAUAUUGCAUUAUGAGAAUAGGAAUUAGCCUCGCUUUCUCUCUCUCUCUUUCUCUCUCUCUCAACACUGAAGUGUCCCCACAAUGGUAGUUAUGAGAACAGCACUAUUUAAUAUUUUCUUUGAUAGAACAUUUUAAAGGGAACCCUGGGUGCAUAUUGCUUGGCUUUGUUUUCUUUUCAAACCCUUAGGCAAGAAGCAUUUGCUUUAAAAUUUAGGUAAGACCAUGCUAACUGUGAAAUACAGACUAGAAAUCCCAGUCUGUCAAUUCAAAUAGAAUUCACCAAGAAAAAAAAAUACUAGAAUAUUUUAAUAUUUCUCAGGGCAUUUAAGCAAAGCACACAGACUCUAGUGGCACUUUGCAUUCCAUUCCAUUCUUGCUCAGGAGAAAUUUGAGGUCUGUGAAAUAUGUUCAGAGGCGUGAUAUGAAUCUUUGCCCAAAGAUCCUCUUAGGAAGUUGAGGAAAGAUGCAUGGGCAUGAGAAAAAAAAAAAGAAAAAAAAAAAAAAGCUUUCUCAUAUCCUACUGAUCAACUUGGUGUAAGCCCUGCCUUCUCUUAUAGCUUGCUGUGAUUAUAUUAUGCUGUCUAUAUUCUUCCUUUUCCUUAUAGUUACUUUUGGUAACUCCUAGACCUCUUGUGAGGGCAUUUUCUUUUAUGAGAAAGCUUUUCCCAACAUACUGAAAAUUUCUUUCAAUUCAUAGAACCUAUUGCUGUCCUCAGCACUCCUGUACUAUUGUGGGCUUUCUGUUUCUCAUUUCCAAUCUGUUGGUUUGGUGUGUACAUCAGACUGUGUGUGUCAUGGAGACAAUAGGCAUGCCACCGACGUCUAAUGAUGUUGAGUACUUGUUCCUAUGUAUUUUGUUUGCCUACCCAUUUUGAUGACUUUCAACUAUACAUCCCGUUUUUCAACUUGAUUACAGAAAAAAACACCCAAUCAUCAUUCCUGUAUUUGAACAAAAAUGAAUCAAAUCGUGUAGGUAAUGAAAUUGAGUAUAAGUCUCUCUCUUCUGCAUCCAACCCACAGGCAUACACAAUAACUGACUCUGGGCUCUCUGGACUUGACACAUCUAUCACAAUGAUGAACUCUCGGAGGGAACUGGUCUUAUAAAGCCACACUCAUUCUUACUGAACUGUGGUGUGUUAGCACAUCCUUGGCUCAGAAAAUGACUCUUUCUAGUUGUAUCCCACUGCUGACCCCAGGAAGCUCUGCUGAAUAUCUCUAAACACACAUUCACCCACACAGGCCUGGGUAAACUUAGUAGGUAACAAAAGAUCACUAGCAAGAACAACAUCAGUAGGCAUGAAUAUGAAAACAGGUUUGUAAAGUAGACAAGUAGAUAGGAAUAGUAGGGAGAUGGGAGAGGUUGGAAAUCUCGAGAGGUCAGAUUGCCUUAUGGACACCUAUGAAAAUGUUAAAUAAUCAACUUCAUUAAUACAAGAUUAAAAUAAGCUGAAACGAGUGUGUUUCUGAGAUUCUUAGAGCUUCUCCAUGUCUUCCGCUCAUCUUUUCAUUGUACAAAUAUUUUCACAUUAAUCUCUUCGUUAGCAAACUUUUAGAAUUAGUGGAUUCAGACAUGAGCUGUCCUGGGAAGGCUUGUGGAUGAGAAUAAUAACAAAGGCAUCACAAAAGAAAAAAUCAUCUGGGUUAUUUUUUUGUACCUAUAAAUAUGACGUGUUUUAAUAAAUUGUGAUAGGAUGUUAAUUGGCAUUUGAAAGUACAAAGUGAAAGGGCUUGAGCUGGUUAUUGCUUAUGCAGUACACUGAACUAAGGGUAUGAGUGCUGGCACCUUACGCUGACUUUGUGAGCCAUACUAUCUCAAACCAGAAAUUUAGCCUAUUUCCUGCAAAUUAUCUUUCCCUUGCGAGGUGAAAUUAAUGCUUGUACACAGGGUUGAGAACAAGCAAUUUCAAUAGAUGGUGUUUCAGAAAUGCUAAGUGUUAUUGUUACAAUUUGUUGCUUAUGUAGAACACAUCUUUACUUUCCGUGCUGGGCCAUGAUUGUUUAGGGAUGGCUAAACCUCAGACUGAAAGUUUAGCUAAUGAGAUGAGAUAUUUUCACAGCUUCUUGAAUCUGAGAACCUCAAAAUAUUCAGUCCCCAUGCAAAUCCGAAUUGGUUAGCAAACAUACAUCCAGAGACAAUGUCACCUGAUUUCAGCAGGAAUUAUGGGCAGAUGGUAGGGACAGAAGUGACUCUUCUGUUCUUUCUCUGACUACCUGGUUAGCAAGCUGGGAAGGCAAGGAGAGUCUCUAGUUUACAAAAGUUUGAACAUGCAGAAUAAGCUUAGAAGUGAAAUCCCCUUAAAUCAAGUUUAUUUUAAAAUUUAACAGAUUUUAUUUCUAUGAAAAUAGUGAAAUUUGAGUUUUUCUUUCCCAGUACUUUUACAGCACCUGCUGUCUUUAUCACUGACUGCUUUCCAUGGCACUUUCUCACACAUCCUUGGUUUCAUUACCUGUUACAUGGACAUAUAUCAUCUUUCAAAUUAUAUUUAAAAAGUCUAUGUAAUAAUGUCCUGUACCCAAAUAAAACUAUCACAUUACCUGUUUAUAUUUGACUCAUGGUGAGGUACCCAUAUACAAUGGUGAUAUAACAUGAAAGGGAAGCAGAAGCAUAAAGAUUCCAUGAAAAAAGUAUAGCUGGUUUUCCACAUCAAAUUCAAUUGAGAAUUCCCCUUCAAGCCAAAAUUUCACAUGUGUUGUCUUCUAUUACUGUGUCUCGCCCUUCACAUGAUCAUAACAUGAUUUUUC
This 2929-nucleotide long non-coding RNA is filed under the name Mus musculus (house mouse). RNAcentral describes it as "long non-coding RNA chr16:40011655-40014584". Lineage: Eukaryota; Metazoa; Chordata; Mammalia; Rodentia; Muridae. The record is from RNAcentral.